Molecule: ribosomal RNA, 1863 nt
Filed under: Triticum aestivum (bread wheat)
Lineage: Eukaryota; Viridiplantae; Streptophyta; Magnoliopsida; Poales; Poaceae
Description: partial small subunit ribosomal RNA
Source: RNAcentral
AUGGCGCUCAGCCUCCGCAAGAAGCAGCUCGAUUUGAUCACGCGGAUGCUCCACCUGAACCAGCAGCAGCCGUCGCCGGACGGCGGCGGCGGGGAGGGGGACGAGGAGGCCUACAAGAUCCUGGUGAUGGACGGGCCCUGCAUCUCGCUCCUCUCGCCGGUGCUCCGCGUCGGCGACCUCCGCAAGCACGGCGUCACCCUCCACCUCAACAUCGACAAGGCGCGCCAGCAGGUCGCCGACGCGCCCGCGGUCUACCUCGUCCGCCCCACGCCCGCCAACGCCGACCGCAUCGCCGCCGACGCCGCCGCGGGGCUCUACGCCUCCUUCCACGUCAACUUCUCCACCUCCGUCCCGAGGCCCGUCCUCGACCGCCUCGCCGCCGCCACCGCCGCGUCCCGCUCCGCGCACCGCGUGGCCCGCGUCGCCGACCAGUACCUCGACUUCGUCUGCCUCGAGGACGGCCUCUUCUCGCUCGCCCAGCCGCGCGCCUACGUCGCCCUCAACGACCCGGCCGCCGCCGAUUCCGACAUCACCUCGCUCGUCGAGGCCGUCGCGCUCGGCCUCUUCUGCGUCGUCGCCACGCUCGGCGCCGUGCCCAUCAUCAGGUGCGCCCGCGGCGGGCCGGCCGAGAUGGUGGCCGCCGCGCUGGACGCCCGCCUUCGGGAUCACCUCCUAGCCAAGCCAAACCUGUUCACGGAGGCUGCAUCCAGUGCCGCCUCAUCGUUCCAGCGCCCGGUCCUCUGCCUGUUUGACAGGAAUUUCGAGCUGUCGGUGGGGAUACAGCACGAUUGGAGCUACCGCCCGUUGGUCCAUGACGUGCUGAGCUUCAAGCUGAACAAGCUGAAGCUGCCGACAGAGAAGUAUGAUCUGGAUGACUCGGACCCAUUUUGGGUGGCAAACAGCUGGUCGCCAUUUCCCAAGGUGGCUGAGGAGAUAGAAGCCCAGCUCGCCAAGUACAAGCAGGAUGUGGACGAGGUGAACCAGCGCACGGGUGGUGGUCGGGAUGGGGUUGAGUUUGAUGGAACAGAUCUUAUUGGCAACACCAAGCACCUCAUGAAUGCGGUGAACUCACUCCCGGAGCUGACCGAACGGAAGAAGAUGAUCGAUAAACACACGAACAUUGCAACCGCGCUGCUUGGGCACAUCAAGGAGAGGUCUCUGGAUGGAUACUAUGAGUGCGAGAAUGAUAUGCUCGUGAAUGGUACUGUGGAUCGGAACAUGCUGCUGAGUCUGCUCAGAGGGAAGGGCACCAAGGAGGAUAAGCUCCGGCUGGCCGUCACCUACCUGCUAUCCUUUGAGGCACCACCAGCAUCUGAACUUGAGCAGGUUGAGGCUGCGCUGCGGGAGUCAGAAGUAGAUAUGUCUGCAUUCCAGUAUGUGAAGAGGAUAAAGUCGUUGAACACACAGUUUGCCGCUGCAUCAAGCACGGCAAGCAGGAGCAACAUUGUUGAUUGGGCAGAGAAGCUUUACGGACAGUCCAUUAGUGCCGUGACAGCAGGCGUGAAGAAUCUCUUGUCGGAUGGGAGGCAGCUGGCUCUGACUAGGACUGUUGAAGCCCUCAUGGAAGGGAAACCAAACCCAGAGGUGGACAACUACCUAUUGUUCGAUCCACGGGCCCCUAGGUCAGGAACUGGUGGGCAGUUUAGAGGACCCUUCAGAGAAGCCAUUGUUUUCAUGAUUGGUGGUGGAAAUUACAUCGAGUAUAGGAGCUUAGUUGAGCUAGGGCAACGCUCACAGCCUUCAAAGCAUGUCAUAUAUGGAGCAACAGAGAUUCUCAAUGGGGUGGAGUUUAUUCAGCAGCUCGCAGAACUGGGACAGAAAGCGGGAUUAGGUGGUGGCAGCAGCAACCUACCACCACAGUAA